AGUUGAAGCAGAUGAUUCACACCACAGAAGAGGAUUACAAGCUGAAAGAAGCUACAGCCUGCACCAGUGCAUUGCACGAGUUAAAUCAGAAGAUGGAAAAGUUUCAGCAGGAGUUUUGCAAGGGAAACUCAGGAAGUUCAAACGAGACACACGGGAUUACGAGAAAGGGGAAGUUUACAGUUGGAAGAACGCCAGACGCGAAUAUCGACAGCGCAGAGUGCCAGUGAAUACGACACAGGAAACUUCUACUCCUUUCUCGUGUGCCCAAGACAGCUUUUCAUCGGCGUCCUCACAAAGUGCUGCUGCUUCCUCUUCAUUUGGUUCUGCUUCAGCUUCUUUUUUAGGGGUCGAUCAGUUGGAAAAAAGGCCCGGACGAGAAGAGGGGGGAGAAAGAAACCGACCACCAGGCAAGCGCAACGAAUUCCAGAGGCUGGCGAAAAAACACCGGACACGUGGAAGAUAAAACGAUGCAGAAUGGAAACUCUGUGGUGAUUUCCAGGAAUGUCUUUCUACCUACUGGAGUGGAAUUGCAGCAAAAUCCAGGCAGAAGAAAACAGAGACAUAAUCACUUUAUGCGCACCCUCACCUAACUCAGUCUGGCCUCUGGCAUAAUGAGCUCCCACCAUGCUUCCCAACAAUUCAAAAGUCAAUUUAUGGCAAGCCCCCAAUUCUCCCUAAUUUGCCUAGUUUUACCCAGACCACCCCCCAUCUGCCCAACACCCUGCCCACUUUCUGCUAACCUCUGUCCUUUUAGAGUCACAUGGGUACAUGUUUGCCUAUUAGAUAUGGAAGAACAUGGGAAAUAAAUGCUGCCAGGAUGAACCUAAUAGAUACAUUGGCAUUGGAAUAUAAAUUAUAGACUGUUACAACUCUAAUAAUGGCAGCUCGGGACAUUCAUCAUACACAGAGCCCCAAGUCAAGCCUCUUUAGGCUGAACAAGAUUUUAUCAGAAUCCCCUCCUCCUGGCCAUCUGGACAUCCAGCUUCCCAUCAUCUCCGAUGAGUUUAAAUUUUAAGUUCGGAGGAAGAUGUUUAGAGCCCUGAUGCCGGGUAAGGAGAUAAAGUGCACUGUAUAGAUAGUGGCCUAAUCCACCAAUUCAAGCUAAAUCCAGUUCAUAUCAUCAUAAUAGUGUCGGGCACACACUGGCACUAGUUUGGCAGAGAUUGAUUUGUAUUGUAUAUUAUGAGGACCAACUGUUGUAUCUCAUGAGACAAUAUGGUGACUUGAUCAUGAGCACCUAUUUGAUAGGUAUCAUGUCAUGUAAGAGAUAAGAACACUCUGAUACUUUACCUGUGAUGUUGUGUAGUUGACUUAAAUCUUAGAAAUUAGAAAACCUUUCUCACAUCUUUCCUAAGCAGAAGAACAUCAGCCUCUUUCUUUCUCCUGACAACUUCCUUGACUACU
Xenopus laevis (African clawed frog) is the source of this 1404-nucleotide long non-coding RNA. RefSeq lists it as uncharacterized. NCBI's taxonomy places the organism in Eukaryota, Metazoa, Chordata, Amphibia, Anura, Pipidae. The record is from RefSeq and is a predicted model, not a curated record. The transcript has 4 exons.